Long non-coding RNA from Diabrotica virgifera virgifera (western corn rootworm), 2588 nucleotides. RefSeq lists it as uncharacterized. NCBI's taxonomy places the organism in Eukaryota, Metazoa, Arthropoda, Insecta, Coleoptera, Chrysomelidae. The record is from RefSeq and is a predicted model, not a curated record. The transcript is spliced from 6 exons.
CCAAGUGACGUCAACAACGUCGAGGAAACGUCAGUAUUUGGUGGAAUAUAUACACGUGGUUGAACAUUACGUCAUAUCGACGUCUUUUGUAGGUGAUUUUAAAUACGUAAGAUUAAUGACGUUAAAAUACGUUUAAAAGACGUUUUCAUUUCAGCCAGCCUAAGUCUGACGUCACGAAAUUGGGAGGAGCUUGGAGCUUAAAAGUUACAAAACUAAGGUUAUGUUUUAUGUUUGUAUCGUCGUCGUCGUUGUCGUUUGUUUGUCCUAGUAUUUUAUCCUAUUUUGGAUUCAUUUGGAUUUUGUUGGCCGUUUUGUGUGUAUUUUUUAACUUUUGUUUGUCAUUUGUAAAUUUUAUAAAUUUACCACAAUGCAAAGUGACUAUUUAAGGAAAUUAUUAUGGGAAACUCCGCAGAUGUUUUAGAAAGAUAUUCAUUGAAGCUGAAAAUAAUUGGAGAUAUAGAUCCAUAUACAUGCAAUUCAGUCAUCAGAAUUGGAUUUUACAGUGCAUUUCAUCAAUUACUGUUAUAAUGCUAUUAUAGAUAGACUGGUAGAGUCUCACAGUUACUACUUUAAGCAGCAGAUGAAAGCAUACAAAAGCCUUCAGACACAUAAAAGCCUUCACAACUGGAUUUGUUUUGAAACAUUUGAUGUUUUGAUGAUUUCUAUAUUAUUGUUGGAAAGGUGAAGAAUUCCCAAAAAGCUAAUGCUAAACCACUAGAUGCUUGGGUGAUAGCCAGUUUCAAUGGCAUAGCAAAUGCACAUUGUAUGUGUAUUGCCGGUAAUAGUGAAGUUUGCAGCCAUAUUGCAGCAAUCUUAUUUGCAGCUGAGUAUGCCCACAGCAAGACAGAAGAAGAAGAACCCAGUGCAUGUACAGAUAUUACAGCUAUGUAUAUUCUCUGGUGAAAAACUAAUGAGUUUUCAAGCUGUUCGGUCAGAGUGCUUGUUGCGCUCUCUAAACGAACUGAAAUAUAAGACGGCUUUGGCUUCAUGUUGCAGCGAUAUGAAAAUGGUGUCUGGAUCUUUUUGUAUGCAAAAAUUUGUAAUAAUUAUUUGAAAUCAUUUUGAGGAUUAUAAGACUAUGGAAAUAUAUGUGAGAACACAGACUAUUAUAGUUUUGUCCUAUUUUUUAUCAUUCAAUCGUCUUCUUUAAAAUUUAUAAAUAUAAAGCAGAUAGUUUUCAUUGAAAUUCAAUAUAUUGGGUCUUAUUUGUAUGUAUUCAUUUUUGACUAAAGGUACGAUUCCGAUAACGACUGCAGACAGCAACUGCAAACAUCAGUUGCAGUUCUCGGCGUUAUGGACGUUACUACUUUGCACUAUUUAUCUGUAUGAGACUGAUUCCGACAUCUGACUGCAACUGCUGUCUGGCAGAACAUCAGUUGCUAAUAAUUAUGCAAAUUAUUAGUGCAAAAUAAUGACGUCUGUCAUGGUGACAACUGUAACUGCCAUCUGCAGUCGUUGUCGGAAUCGUACCCUAACAACACACAACAUUCCAGGAAUGUACUACCAAAGUUCUAUCAAUAUUUGAAUGUCCUGGACAUUUAGGGAACAUUCGGUGAACAUCUGUUUAAAUUAUUCCUGGAAUGUUACCAUAAGACAUUCUGUGAACAUACUACCAAUGUUCCUAUAUUUUAAGUUGCGAAAUAAUACAUACGUGUAAGAGAUACAACAUUACUUAUAACAUACCAGACAAACUAAGUGACAUUUUAGGCCUACAGUGCAAUAAUAUGUCAAAUUUAAAGAGUUUCCCAAGAUUAUAAACAUACAAAUGUAAUAAAAAUUAUUGUUCGCGAAUAUUCAAUUUGGAAUGCGAUUUUGUUAAUAAAAAAAAUACUUAUAACUUAUGCAAAACCCAAGAGAGGCAUUUAUAUUUAUUUCUUUUGCGUUCAUUUUCAAAUUCGCCGUGCAUAUAUUUUUGUGCAUGGCGCUUGAGAGGGCAUCACGUGACUAAAAACGACCAACCAACGACCUCGCUUCGGCCAUCUUGGCAUCUUCAUCUUGGCGACCUUGCCUUGCCGUGGAUUGUUUUUAGUUGUUUGUAUUAUUUGUGCUUUUUAAGAAUAUUUUUUUAAUUCGGAUACUUUUAUAAUAGCUUUAAUAGUAUUAUUAACAUAGUGCAUAAAAUGGUGUCCUGUUUUUAACGCAGUUGGAGUAGCAGAAACAAAUGUAGAUAAAAAAAUCUGCAGGAAUAACGUUUCAAUUAUGACAGAAGCUCAAAACAAAUGACUGUGAAUGAAAAGCCCUAUUAAAAGCUUUCCAGAAGAUCCUGCGAAGAAGACAUGAAGUAUAGAUCAGAUUUGUUAAUAGAGGAGUAUGUUCAAAACACUUUUUAGAAAAAGAUAUUGACAGAACUUCACUUUCAUCUGUUCGUUUGAGAGACUGUUCUGUUCCAAUAGCUUAUGUCACACAGAAUCAGCUGAGAGAAGUGGUCUACAAAAAACCAGAAAGGAAACGGAAUAUGUGGCUACGAAAAGCAAAAGAAAGGUUUACAAAGCAAAUGUGACACAUUUUUUUAUAAUAUUUAGGAAUGUCAGCAAAUUACAUUAAAAAAUGUAUGUAAAGAUUUUUUGCAAUAAAAAUGUUUAUAUUUA